RNAcentral lists this ribosomal RNA (396 nucleotides) under uncultured bacterium. RNAcentral's name for it is "bacterial SSU rRNA". It matches the Rfam family "Bacterial small subunit ribosomal RNA", at positions 358 to 770 of the family's 1533-position model. The record is from RNAcentral.
GGAAUAUUGCGCAAUGGAGGAAACUCUGACGCAGUGACGCCGCGUAUAGGAAGAAGGUUUUCGGAUUGUAAACUAUUGUCGUUAGGGAAGAUAAAAGACUGUACCUAAGGAGGAAGCCCCGGCUAACUAUGUGCCAGCAGCCGCGGUAAUACAUAGGGGGCAAGCGUUAUCCGGAUUUACUGGGUGUAAAGGGAGCGUAGGCGGUCUGCCAAGUCUGAUGUGAAAACCCGGGGCUCAACCCCGGGAGUGCAUUGGAAACUGGCGGACUGGAGUGUCGGAGAGGUAAGCGGAAUUCCUAGUGUAGCGGUGAAAUGCGUAGAUAUUAGGAGGAACACCAGUGGCGAAGGCGGCUUACUGGACGAUAACUGACGCUGAGGCUCGAAAGCGUGGGGAGCA